RNAcentral lists this ribosomal RNA (299 nucleotides) under Sporothrix inflata. RNAcentral's name for it is "partial 28S ribosomal RNA". It matches the Rfam family "Eukaryotic large subunit ribosomal RNA", at positions 1 to 302 of the family's 3401-position model. The record is from RNAcentral. Lineage: Eukaryota; Fungi; Ascomycota; Sordariomycetes; Ophiostomatales; Ophiostomataceae.
UUGACCUCGGAUCAGGUAGGACUACCCGCUGAACUUAAGCAUAUCAAUAAGCGGAGGAAAAGAAACCAACAGGGAUUGCCCCAGUAACGGCGAGUGAAGCGGCAACAGCUCAAAUUUGAAAUCUGGCCCCCCGGCCCGAGUUGUAAUUUGGAGAGGAUGCUUUUGGCGCGGCGCCGUCCGAGUUCCUUGGAACAGGACGCCACAGAGGGUGAGAGCCCCGUACGGACGGACGCCUAGCCUCUACAAAGCUCCUUCGACGAGUCGAGUAGUUUGGGAAUGCUGCUCAAAAUGGGAGGUAA